CAAAAAAAAGAUAAUUGACAAGGCAAGGCAAACUGCCGACACAGAGCAACACUAGAAUCCUGGAAUACGGCAACACCUUAGAUUCUGACAAUGAUUGUAAACAUUUACCAGAACAAUAUCUGUUUGUAAGAUGGGAGAACGUCUCGAAAUGAAUAUGUAUUUAUCCUGGUCGCGCUUCUAGCAUUUUUAAUCGCGAUGCUGUGAUGUUACCUGUGUUCGC
Molecule: non-coding RNA, 220 nt
Organism: Paramuricea clavata
Lineage: Eukaryota; Metazoa; Cnidaria; Anthozoa; Malacalcyonacea; Plexauridae
Source: the annotation of a GenBank genome assembly